AAUGAACGCUGGCGGCGCGCCUAAUACAUGCAAGUCGAGCGAGAAGACGUAGCAAUACGUUUGUAAAGCGGCGAACGGGUGAGGAAUACAUGGGUAACCUACCCUCGAGUGGGGAAUAACUAGCCGAAAGGUUAGCUAAUACCGCGUACGCUCCUUGGACUUCGGUUCAGGGAGGAAAGCGAUACCGUGGGUAUCGCGCUCUUGGUUGGGCUCAUGUCCUAUCAGCUUGUUGGUGAGGUAACGGCUCACCAAGGCUUCGACGGGUAGCUGGUCUGAGAGGACGAUCAGCCACACUGGCACUGCGACACGGGCCAGACUCCUACGGGAGGCAGCAGUAAGGAAUAUUGCGCAAUGGGCGAAAGCCUGACGCAGCGACGCCGCGUGGGGGAGUGAAGGUC
Molecule: ribosomal RNA, 398 nt
Filed under: uncultured bacterium
Lineage: Bacteria
Description: bacterial SSU rRNA
Rfam family: Bacterial small subunit ribosomal RNA
Source: RNAcentral